RNAcentral lists this ribosomal RNA (749 nucleotides) under Tomentella sp. 2 SGT-2012. Its description in RNAcentral is "eukaryotic LSU rRNA". The stretch from base 209 to 363 matches the Rfam family "5.8S ribosomal RNA". The record is from RNAcentral. Lineage: Eukaryota; Fungi; Basidiomycota; Agaricomycetes; Thelephorales; Thelephoraceae.
UCAUUACUGAAUGGUCAAACAUGGGUUGUUGCUGGCCUCCCAAAAGGGGCAUGUGCACGCUCUGUUUACACAUCCACUCACACCUGUGCACCCUCUGUAGUUUUAUGGUUCGGGAGACCCUGUCUUCCUGCUGUAGCUCUACGUCUUUACACACACGCCGUAGUGAUGUCCUGUGGAAUGUUUUUCUGCGUUUAACGCAAUACAAUACAACUUUCAGCAACGGAUCUCUUGGCUCUCGCAUCGAUGAAGAACGCAGCGAAAUGCGAUAAGUAAUGUGAAUUGCAGAAUUCAGUGAAUCAUCGAAUCUUUGAACGCACCUUGCGCCCCUUGGUUAUUCCGAGGGGCAUGCCUGUUUGAGUAUCAUGAACACCUCAACUCUCAUGGUCUUCCAUGACGAGCUUGGAUUUUGGGGGUUUGCUGGCCCUGUGGCCGGCUCCUCUCAAAUGAAUCAGCCUGCCAGUGUUUGGUGGCAUCACGGGUGUGAUAACUAUCUACGCUCGCCGUUGUCUGCCAGGUAACCCUCAGCGAUGAAGGUUCAUUGGGGCUCAUAGACGUCUCUCCUCGGUGAGGACAACUUUUGAACGUUCGAUCUCAAAUCAGGUAGGACUACCCGCUGAACUUAAGCAUAUCAAUAAGCGGAGGAAAAGAAACUAACAAGGAUUCCCCUAGUAACUGCGAGUGAAGCGGGAAGAGCUCAAAUUUAAAAUCUGGCGUGCCUCUGGUCGUCCGAAUUGUAGUCUGGAGAAGCG